This is a long non-coding RNA of Esox lucius (northern pike), 1110 nucleotides long. NCBI's taxonomy places the organism in Eukaryota, Metazoa, Chordata, Actinopteri, Esociformes, Esocidae. The record is from Ensembl.
GUCUGCCCGUCUCUGUCUGCCCGUCUCUGUCUGCCCGUCUCUGUCUGCCCGUCUCUGUCUGCCCGUCUCUGUGAUCCCAUUUAAUUCCACAGCACUCCCCAGUGUAUUGUAGUUGAAGCAGAAUCCAAGACUCAUAGAAGUGAAGGAAACCCUGCAGAUACGCAAAUGUAGCCCUUCCCCAUUCCAACCGACUCCCCCCGGUCCCCCCGGUCCACCCCCAGUCCCCCUCUCUCUUUCUCCCUCACUUCUUCCUCUUUCUCUGUCCCUCUUUCUUCUCUCUCUCUGUCUCAGUUUUUGUCUCUCUCUUUCUCUCUGCCUACUUCCACAAGCCCUGCAUUGUCACACCCAGCUAGAGAGGAGGGAGUUACCAGCAGGGUUGUCUGUAUCACAUGACGACGGUGAGGGUCUAGUGGAAGCAGACAGCUGCACUUGUUCUGCCAAACAGUCAUUACACCAGCCUUUAUACGCACGCCCGGAUUCUGCUUUCUUUCAAACUGACUGGAAUCAUUCCUAAGAAAAAUGUUUGCAUAGUUAAAGUGGAUUGGUACCUUUUUUGGUUCCAAUCAGCAGCUUAAUUAUUUGAUUUUUGGAGUGGCACAUACUGCUCUUGUGGGGGAGGGAUGGGACCGUAGGAACAUGGGAACAUAGAGGAACUCAUGGUAGAUGAGCAUAAUUAUGUGGACAAUGUGUUUGAGUUCUCCUGAACAAAUCAUGUAUAUGUACCGAACUGAAGAACAAGGAUCUGUUUUCUUGUGAGGAACGACACAAGUUUCAGUGACCACACAGUCCAAGACACUUUCUCUACUUUGACUCACUUAUUUAUGUCUGCCUUAUUUAUUUGAUGUUUUAUUAAAUCGGAGCACAAUUACUUAUUUAAAAAAACAUGUAUGAACAAUGUGACUAACUUUCAGUUGUGAUAUGAUGAUAUAUUCUGUAUAUUGUACAUAGGUAAACCCUGUUAAUAUCAAUGUGGAUUCAAGGUUAUUUUUUAAAAUGUACAGGGAUCACAAUGUAGAGAAAUUAGAGAUUAAACACAAGCAAUGUCAAGUGUUCCAGGAAGAAGCAAAACAAAGUUUUAACUGCAUUUUCACCUUCUGUAUUAUUUACUCC